RNAcentral lists this long non-coding RNA (567 nucleotides) under Ananas comosus (pineapple). RNAcentral describes it as "long non-coding RNA (ACOM_LNC025862)". The record is from RNAcentral. Lineage: Eukaryota; Viridiplantae; Streptophyta; Magnoliopsida; Poales; Bromeliaceae.
AACACACCCCUAUAAUCUAUUUCACACAAAACGAUACAUAAAAUUACCGUUUUGCCAUUAGUGACCCCUAUUAAUAAGAUUGAAGACAUUGUCCUAUCAAGUCGAUUUGAAUGAUCAGAACUUCAAAUUGAUAAUCAACACCAUUAAAAUUGAUCUACACAAUUAGAAAUGUUUAGAAACCAAAUUUUGUAGUAUUUAAAAAUCAUUAUCAAGUUCAUCUUAAGAGUUGAAAAAUGAACGGUCAUAAAUAAAUAACCUUCUUAAAAUAGAGGUUAGACUUUCUCAAUUCAUAAUCAGAGUUAUCAAACAUUAUCUAAAUAGUAUAAAGAAUUUUCUAUAAAAAAUUCAAACAAUUUGGAUUACUUUACACCGUUAAACAAGUAAACGGCUCAUAUAGGUCGUUAAAAAUUAUCGAUUUUAUGACACUUUGAUCAUCAUGUAAAUAAUUUUUAAAAUUUAUGAAAUUUAGUUUCUAGAUAUUUCAAAUAUUCUAGAUCAACUUCAACGGCUCCGAUCAUCGAUUCGAAAUCUCUAUCAUCAAAAAACAAUUUGAUCUGACAAAUAUAU